GAUGAACGCUGGCGGUGUGCCUAAUACAUGCAAGUCGAGCGAACAGACCAGGAGCGUGCUCCUUUGACGUUAGCGGCGGACGGGCGGGUAAGACGUGGAUAACCUACCUAUUAUACUGGGAUAACUUCGGGAAACCGGAGCUAAUACCGGAUAACAUGUUCAACCGCUGGGUUCAAGAGUUAAUGACGCUUUUGCUGCUACUUAUAGAUGGAUCCGCGCCGCAUUAGCUAGUUGGUAAGGUAACGGCUUACCAAGGCAACGAUGCGUAGCCGACCUGAGAGGGUGAUCGGCCACACUGGAACUGAGACACGGUCCAGACUCCUACGGGAGGCAGCAGUAGGGAAUCUUCCGCAAUGGGCGAAAGCCUGACGGAGCAACGCCGCGUGAGUGAAGAAGGUCUUCGGAUCGUAAAACUCUGUUAUUAGGGAAGAACAAAUGUGUAAGUAACUAUGCACGUCUUGACGGUACCUAAUCAGAAAGCCACGGCUAACUACGUG
RNAcentral lists this ribosomal RNA (497 nucleotides) under uncultured bacterium. RNAcentral's name for it is "partial 16S ribosomal RNA". It matches the Rfam family "Bacterial small subunit ribosomal RNA", at positions 28 to 507 of the family's 1533-position model. The record is from RNAcentral.